UCUUCUCUUGUCACUAUACCCCCAUCGGCAAUCCCUCUUUAUCCAUCUUCUUUGUCUCUCUCUCACUCUUUCCCCCAUCUUUCUCUCUUUUUCCUUUCUUGCUCCUAUUUUCACUCCCUUAUCCUCUCUUUCUCAUGCCGUAUUUGCCCGGAUCCAAAUAGGGAAGCACUUCAGUGGCAUUUUCUAGUAUCUGUCACUUUUUACGGCCCAAGAGUCUGCCGUUUAUUGAGUAUUUCAGGUACCUAUCUACGAGAGACUCGGAGAAGCUGAGCAUGAGGCAAACGUGCAGGCGGAUGUUUGAUUUGCAACGGAUGGCAGUAAAAGUGGUAGCGGUGUGUGUAAGGUCGGAAUUGAUUUAUUGGGUGUAACAGAGUAGCCCCAAUAUUGGUUGGUGUUCGGAAAAAGGCCGGUGGGAGUUGGAAGGAAGAACCUCAGUCUCUGCGACCUUGAGUGCCCACUAAGUUGAAUUUUCAUGUUCUAUUCUCAGAAGUUGGUACUUCCCACUUUCCUAUUUCUCUUCUUUGUGUUAGUUAAAUUGUUCUUAUUUUAGUUCGCAUUAGUUAAUCUUACUGUUAGUGUGCCUGUAGUAACAACUUGUUUUAUUCUAGUUUGGUCUGUUGCUUUUUUUCUUAGCAGUUUCCCUUAGUCUGUUGUAGGUAUAGUGGUUAUGGUUUAGGAUAGUAAAGUAAGGUCAAGUCCUCGGGGUGGGCGGGAGUGGGUGGGGAAAGGGACAAGGGGUGGGACAGGAGGCAAUGAGGGUAAAGGGAGCCUAUAGGUAGAGAACAUAGACCGGUCCAACAUAAUAUAUUGGAGUUCGAUGCACCUAUGUAUGAACUUCCCGCAUAUUAUACUGGACCGGUAUACAUUGCUGGCUCUAGUAUAAUAUGCUGGAGACUGAAGCACCGGUGCUCCAAAAUCCAGUAUAUUAUGCUGGACCAGUAUAUUAUACUGAAACUCUAUUAUAUUAGAUUGGGGUUCUAGUAUAUUAUGCUGGAGUAUUUUUUCGGAUUUUGAAUAGUGCUUUCGUUCAGAUUUAUCUUUACAUAAAAAAAUAACUAAAUUUCGAUUACUUUUAAACUGUGACUAUUUUUGAAUGACCACUUGUAAAUCGUGCUAUUUUUAAAUUUCUCUCUCAAUGUGCAGAGCACUGGUCAUAUAUGUUUUGAACUUUACGACUUAAAUUGUCUGUUUUAUACGUUUCAGGAAUGUUCUUACGCACCUUCCGCCUGCUACUCCACCCUUUGCGUUUCAAAAGCUUUUAUGUUUAAAAUUUAUUUAAGUAUCUGACCAUAACCUAUAUGAUAUGUUUUAUAAUUAAGAAGUUCAUGACAUAAAUAUUAUCAUGUAAAUAUAUAUAGUAUUACAAAUGGAUAGUUACGUCGAUUUUUCUUCACGUUCUUUUCUUUGAAUCCUAAACUUUGAUUACAUUUUUCUGUAUUUCUUAUAUUUAAUCUAUUUUAUGUGCCUAUAUUAGUCUAUUAUCAAAAAAAAUCUUGGAACUUACACCUCGUGUCUUGGGGUUAACAUUUUGUCGCAUGAUGCGAUUUGGACAAAUUUGCUUGAAGUUGAUUAAAAGGGUUUUUGGUAUUUAAAUUUUGUGAGUAGAAAUUAUUAUUUCACUUGAACUAGUUUUCACAUAAGCUUUUCAACUUCAAAAUUUUAAGUUUAAAUUAAAAUAAUAAAAACAAAAAUUAUACAAUAAUAUUUCAAUAUUUGGGAAUAAUGUUUGGUUUGAAGUUAUAUCACAAUGCCAAAUUCGUCUUUUCCACAUGAUGUUCUACGAUUGAGGUAUUACUUUAAACAUUUAAAAUCUUCACCCAAACUCAUCACAGUGACAGAAUUGGGAGCCAGCAAUUUUCCCUUGCAGUUUGGCACGUGGAAUAUGUCUUGGCAAAAUGGAAGAAAUAUCGUAAUCUCCUUUAAUUCGAGCACGCAAACUAUAGUUUUGUUUAAUUCAUCACAAAAUUCAGUUUUUAGAUGUAGCAUUUUUUAUUUUUUUCUUAAAUGUAGGAAUUAGAAGAGGAAAGUAUGAUAGCAGAGGUUCUAAACAAUUUUAAAAGUGCAAUAUCAUUUUUAUAGGAUAAUUCUGAAUUUUGAUAGGUCAUCAAAGCUUAUAUUUUGGUAGUUGAUAUAUUAAAUUUUAGGGAUAAACAUUGCAUUUAUUCAAACUAAAAGAAAAUUAUUACUUAGGAAUAACAUUAAAAAAGCAAAUAGUUUAAGAACCUUUGGGACGGUUAACUCUAAGCGGAGUUCUUCAGGAAAAAAAAUGGAGUGUAAUUUAAAAAGAAAUAUCACUUGUUGUAGAUGUCGAUGCUUUUCUAAACGUCUGGAGGGGAGGGGAUAGAGAAACAUAAAUUAUAUUAAUGAUGUUUAAAAUAAUAAAGGUGAAAAAACAUCUAAGAAUGAUACAUAUUUAAAUCAUGAAUAUGAUCUUAGAGAUGGAAAUUAGCACAAAACGAAUUACUAUAAGUAGGGUGAAACAGACUUACUUUGCCAAUGAAUAUCACUGUUGGAAACUUGUAAAUAUAUUUCAUUCUCAUUAUAAGAAAUCAAGAUUUGUCUCCAUGCACUGCUCAUAAUAACUAAAAUUUGAACUCUUUUGUAAUGAGGCUAGGAUAUAUUACACAAAGCAUACAUUACGUUAACAGAAGCAAUUCCUUAAAACUGGUAUACAAUACAACCUUUCUCUGCUGAUCGAGCAGUAACUAAACUUUUUAAGUUGUUAGUUGAAGACCUGGUGGAACUGGAACUUCAUUAGAAUGUCCAGAGAUGCAGAGAUUGCCAUGAUUAUCCUGUUCCCAAUAAACCUCAACCAUAAGCCCUCGAGGGUUCUCCGAGGAUGUUGUCCCAGGGAUCUCUACAUACUUCGAUCCUUAGGGUACCUUCAUUGCAUUGUAAGGCCAAUUAGUGACUUUGUUUUGGAAAAUUUCAUCUUUUCUCAGGAUGCUGUUUAGCCAGUUAACGAUAUAAUCUUCAUCCGAAUUGAAGCACUUACCUGGAGAGUGGUUCCGGAUGCUAAUGUCAGUGUCUUGAUGCUUCCUUCAGAUUUGGCUUCCUCUAGCUCUGCCUUCUUUGCAAUGUUCAUAAACACUUCUUCUAGCGUUGUAAGACCUAUCUUGAUAUUUAGUAUGCCUAAUUCCGUUUUCCUGUUUUCUAG
Molecule: long non-coding RNA, 3157 nt
Filed under: Nicotiana benthamiana
Lineage: Eukaryota; Viridiplantae; Streptophyta; Magnoliopsida; Solanales; Solanaceae
Description: long non-coding RNA (NBEN_LNC020739)
Source: RNAcentral